Molecule: unclassified non-coding RNA, 520 nt
Filed under: uncultured Entrophospora
Lineage: Eukaryota; Fungi; Glomeromycota; Glomeromycetes; Entrophosporales; Entrophosporaceae
Description: SSU rRNA
Rfam family: Eukaryotic small subunit ribosomal RNA
Source: RNAcentral
AGCAGCCGCGGUAAUUCCAGCUCCAACAGCGUAUAUUAAAGUUGUUGCAGUUAAAAAGCUCGUAGUUGAAUUGAGGGAUUGACGUGACGGUCGUGCCUUACGGGGUAUGAAUGAACUGUUGCUGUUGAUUUUUCUCACCUUCUGGAGAAACUUGAUGUCCUUAAUUGGGUGUCUUGCGGAUCCAGGACCUUUACCUUGAAAAAAUUUAGAGUGUUUAAAGCAGGCAUUUUGCUCGAAUACAUUAGCAUGGAAUAAUAGAAUAGGACGGCAUGGUUCUAUUUUGUUGGUUUCUAGGAUCACCGUAAUGAUUAAUAGGGAUAGUUGGGGGCAUUAGUAUUCAAUUGUCAGAGGUGAAAUACUUGGAUUGUUGAAGACUAAUUACUGCGAAAGCAUUUGCCAAGGAUGUUUCAUUAAUCAAGAACGAAAGUUAGGGGGAUCGAAGACGAUCAGAUACCGUCGUAGUCUUAACCAAUAAACUAUGUCGACUAGGAAUCAGACGAUGUUAAUUUUUUAAUGAUUC